This 624-nucleotide ribosomal RNA is filed under the name Desmoscolecidae sp. 691_5-1500_X. RNAcentral's name for it is "eukaryotic LSU rRNA". It matches the Rfam family "Eukaryotic large subunit ribosomal RNA", at positions 392 to 899 of the family's 3401-position model. The record is from RNAcentral. Lineage: Eukaryota; Metazoa; Nematoda; Chromadorea; Desmoscolecida; Desmoscolecidae.
AGAGGGCGUGAAACCGCUUAGAAGGAAACGUGAGGCGCCGCAGUUUGCCUUCAAGAUUCAAUUGGCCGGCUGCUCUCGGAGUGGUCGGCUUGUGCAUUUCUUGUUGGUAUGCACUGGGUGCCGUGUUGGUUGUGCUGUUCACAUUCACCGGUGAAGUACGAAUGUGCAGUUCAGGUGAUUGUGUAUUGUGCGGCUGGUACGGUUGACGGGGCGCUCUGUGAAGCUCGGUAUUUGGAUGAUCAUUUGUUGUCUCUCGGCAGCUGGUUUUUGACGGUUGUCGGGUGAUGGGUCUUGUGAUUCCUAUGCUGAGGAGGCGCCUUCCCGGUGUGAACGUCGGCUACCCUCCCGACCCGUCUUGAAACACGGACCAAGGAGUCUAACAUGUGCGCGAGUCGGUGGGUGUCAAACCUACGGGCGCAAUGAAAGUAAAGGCCAGCUCGGUUGGCUGACGCACGACCCUUUCAGCUUGCUGUUUGGAGCAGUGUGGUCCCAUCUUAGAUGCUUGUCAUCGAGGUGGAGAUUGAGCGUACACGUUGGGACCCGAAAGAUGGUGAACUAUGCCUGAACAGGAUGAAGCCAGAGGAAACUCUGGUGGAAGUCCGAAGCGGUUCUGACGUGCAAAUC